This 249-nucleotide long non-coding RNA is filed under the name Hordeum vulgare. RNAcentral describes it as "long non-coding RNA (HVUL_LNC010193)". The record is from RNAcentral. Lineage: Eukaryota; Viridiplantae; Streptophyta; Magnoliopsida; Poales; Poaceae.
CUUAUUAUUCUUCUUCUUCUUCCCCUUCUGCUUCUUGUUCUUCUUCUUCUUGUUCUUCUUGUUCUUCUUGUUCUUCUUCUUCUUCUUAUUCUGCUUCUUCUUCUUCUUCUUGUUCUUCUUCUUCUUAUUAUUCUCCUUCUCCUUCUCCUCCUCCUUCUUCUUCUUCUUCUUCCCCUUCUUCUUCUUAUCCUCUUUCUUCUCCUUCUUCUUGUUCUUCUUAGCUAAUUAUCCUCCAAAAUUACACAAUUA